GACGAACGCUGGCGGCGUGCCUAAUACAUGCAAGUCGAGCGAACGGAAGAGGAGCUUGCUCCUCGGAAGUUAGCGGCGGACGGGUGAGUAACACGUGGGCAACCUGCCCUUAAGACUGGGAUAACUCCGGGAAACCGGGGCUAAUACCGGAUAAUGCUUUGAGCUUCAUGGUUUAAAGCUGAAAGGCGGCUUCGGCUGUCACUUAAGGAUGGGCCCGCGGCGCAUUAGCUAGUUGGUGAGGUAACGGCUCACCAAGGCGACGAUGCGUAGCCGACCUGAGAGGGUGAUCGGCCACACUGGGACUGAGACACGGCCCAGACUCCUACGGGAGGCAGCAGUAGGGAAUCUUCCGCAAUGGACGAAAGUCUGACGGAGCAACGCCGCGUGAGUGAAGAAGGUUUUCGGAUCGUAAAGCUCUGUUGUUAGGGAAGAACAAGUACCAUAGUAACUGAUGGUACCUUGACGGUACCUAACCAGAAAGCCACGGCUAACUACGUGCCAGCCGCCGCAGUAAAAC
Molecule: ribosomal RNA, 517 nt
Filed under: uncultured bacterium
Lineage: Bacteria
Description: bacterial SSU rRNA
Rfam family: Bacterial small subunit ribosomal RNA
Source: RNAcentral